Molecule: ribosomal RNA, 468 nt
Filed under: uncultured bacterium
Lineage: Bacteria
Description: partial 16S ribosomal RNA
Rfam family: Bacterial small subunit ribosomal RNA
Source: RNAcentral
GACGAACGCUGGCGGCGUGCCUAACACAUGCAAGUCGAACGGAAAGGCCCUGCUUUUGUGCGUUGCUCGAGUGGCGAACGGGUGAGUAACACGUGAGUAACCUGUCCUUGACUUUGUGAUAUCUUCAGGAAACUGGGGCUCUUACCGCAUAGGAUCUCCUGCUGCAUGUUGGUCGUUGGUAAGUUUCGGCGGUUGGGGCUGGACUCGCGGCUUAUCCGCUUGUUGGUGGGGUAGUGGCUUACCAAGGCUUUGACGGGUAGCCGGCAUGAGAGGGUGACCGGCCACAUGGGGACUGAGAGACGGCCCAGACUGCUACGGGAGGCAACAGUGGGGAAUAUGGCACAAUAGGCGGAAGCGAGAUGCAGAAACGCCGCGUGCGGGAAGACGGGUUUCGGGUUGAGAACCGAUGUGGAAUGAAACGAGGAGGGAGUGACGGUAAUGGGUAAAGAAGCAACGGCUAACUACGUG